This 72-nucleotide transfer RNA is filed under the name Camelus dromedarius (Arabian camel). It matches the Rfam family "tRNA". Rfam says of the family: Transfer RNA (tRNA) molecules are approximately 80 nucleotides in length. Their secondary structure includes four short double-helical elements and three loops (D, anti-codon, and T loops). Further hydrogen bonds mediate the characteristic L-shaped molecular structure. tRNAs have two regions of fundamental functional importance: the anti-codon, which is responsible for specific mRNA codon recognition, and the 3' end, to which the tRNAs corresponding amino acid is attached (by aminoacyl-tRNA synthetases). tRNAs cope with the degeneracy of the genetic code in two manners: having more than one tRNA (with a specific anti-codon) for a particular amino acid; and 'wobble' base-pairing, i.e. permitting non-standard base-pairing at the 3rd anti-codon position. The record is from Rfam by way of RNAcentral. RNAcentral also lists the same sequence under 1 other name. Lineage: Eukaryota; Metazoa; Chordata; Mammalia; Artiodactyla; Camelidae.
GUAGGUAUAGCUCAGUGGUAGAGCACAUGCUUAGCAUGCACGAGGUCCUGGGCUCAAUCCCCAGUACCUCCA